This 522-nucleotide ribosomal RNA is filed under the name Triticum aestivum (bread wheat). Its description in RNAcentral is "partial small subunit ribosomal RNA". Lineage: Eukaryota; Viridiplantae; Streptophyta; Magnoliopsida; Poales; Poaceae. The record is from RNAcentral.
AUGGACUGCUGCGGCGGCCUCCUCCUUUGCCAAUGCUGGAAGAGACCGUCUCGAGCCGGCUCCGCCGGCGUGGAGUUCGUCGUGUGCAACCCGGCCACCGAGGAGUGGACUGUUGCGCCUGCCACCAAGCAGCUGCACCCGAGCAAGAAGAACAUCGUCCGCUUGGGUUUUGACCCACUCGUCCCCUCCCGCUUCGCCGUGUUCGUACUCGUGCGCGACCACGGGGCCACCAGAGUGGAGAUUUUCUCAUCGGAAACCAGGAGGUGGAUUUCCAAGGAGAGCGAGUGGGGCGACCGGACCAGCGUGGAUGAUCACAAUUGUUCAGUCUCCGUCUUCUUCGGUGGGGCGCUGCAUCUGACUACCCACGAUUCCUCCGUGAUCACGGUGGACACGGAGGGGAAUACUUGGCGGAAAAUCCGAAUGCCGCUCAGCGUAGAGGACACCUCGGAUUACGGUUAUAUCGCGCAGUCUAAGGGACGCCUGUAUGCAAUGCAUAUGGAUUACUGCAAUGGUAAUUGCUAG